UAAUGAGCACUGAUCAGAACUUUAAACACAUUUAAAAUUAUAUUGCGAACAUGAAUGCAAAGUUCUCCAAAUCACAUACAAGGUAAUGUUUUAUUUGUUUAAAUUAUUCAUUUUUUUCUUCUCUAUAUUUUCUACUCAUAUUUUUUGUAUGCUUAUGCAGUUUUUCCACAUUCUGCACUUGCCUUUUCCAAUUAUUACUACGGUAGUCUUGCGUAGCCUAAUCUUAGCUUCAGAUGUCAUGCAUAUGACACUUUCUGAUAACCUUUAAGCAAAUUUCAAAGUCGUCCUCUGAUUGGUUGAAUUAUACAGGAUUUCCAGGAGAUAUGUGCGUGUCGUGAUCUUUAACGGUCCGCCCGGACACCAUCCCUGCGGCACUUUAUAGUUGCAGUUAGAGUAAUGUAAAUCAGGGGUGUGCUUGCAUUGGUCCACUAGUUCUAGAUUAACAGCUCCACCUCUUCUAGCCAAUCAGUCGAAGGGGAGUUGACGUCACUCCAAUGCAACUCAUGGCUGCUGUGCUGUGCUCAUGAUGCUCCCAAAGAAAGAAAGUAUUCACCUUAUUUUCCACGACAACAAGGGCGGCGCCAUUGCGCUCAUAUUGUCAACGUACUUCCGGCUGCAUAUGAUGAGCAGCUGAGGCAGUGGCUUUUUAAACCUAAAAAGCUCACUUAAGCGCCUUUAUGUUUGUUUCUUACCAAUUUUAACGGACGGGGAGCCGACUGAGGAACACCCUAAUCCCAAGUAAUGGUUCGACUACGAUGUUCCGGUAACUUUAAACCACGCCGGGUGUUGAAAAGGUGGUCAGUUUCAGAUGCAUUGAUGUUUAGGGAUGCAAUGGACAACUGUGAGGAUGAUAUACAAUCAACAUGUUCCUAAACUGUGAUGCAGAAACACAAUGGGAGGAUCAAUCCGUCUCUGAACACAACUACACUUUAAAAUCACAACUCAACCUGAAGCAACCUACAUCUGAUAUGGGAAAACAACCUUGCGGUUUCCCGGACAGGGCUUAUGCUGGUCCCAGGCUAAAAUGCUUAUUUGAGCUAUGAUGAUAAUUAAAAAACACCAUGUACUGACAUACCUCAACAUAUAUGAGUGCCAUUGUUUUGUCACAAGAUGUGGUUUGUUUGUAAAAACUAAAAUGUCCUAAUAUAAUUAAGGCCUAGUCCUGUAAACUCUGUCCGAGAAACUGCUUCAAAGCUUCUGCUUCAUGUGUUGAGCUGGCACAAAUGUACAUAUCUCUGCUGAGAAACAACCAUCUUUGUCAGCUUUACACAGGGUUGAUAUUGCAUGCAUUACACAGUCGCUAAGCACAUCACCAGUACAUACAACAACAGCUUCCAGAUAAACACUUGGGAUCAGCUCCUGAUGACUCUGAUAAAGCUGCAUCUUAAUUCAUUGCAGGGUGGUCUUGCUGAAAAGUUAGUUGUUUCUUAGUCCAUAGUUAUUUUUUAUAAACCUUUACAAUUUGACCUGAUUUUACCUGUUGUAAAGUUACAUUUAAACCUUCAUAUGUGAUCAGAUGUCAUGCAGUGAUAUUAAACAUUUACAAUGUGA
This is a long non-coding RNA of Paramisgurnus dabryanus, 1551 nucleotides long. RefSeq lists it as uncharacterized. The record is from RefSeq and is a predicted model, not a curated record. Lineage: Eukaryota; Metazoa; Chordata; Actinopteri; Cypriniformes; Cobitidae.